GGAAGACUCCGCCCGCCCUGGCAAUAACCCUUACAUGCCCUCACGGGAACGGGAGGAAAACCUCACCCUGACGGUAACGAAACCCGGCCGCCCAACAAGAUCGGAUGAAGGGAAAAAGCUCCCUAGCGACACCUCCGCGCUCCAAUGCAACCCCGCAAAAAGCGAAGGAAGGGUCCUCACUCGAAAAAGAGGAGAAAAAUUAAAAAGGAAGGGCGACGAACCGCGGUGGAAACAGAUGAAGGACGAACCACCCCAAAGACCUAAAAGACUUCGUCCCAACGGAGACGGGGAGUUCCUACCAAACACCCCCGACUUCUAAAAAGACUCCCGACAC
Molecule: long non-coding RNA, 334 nt
Filed under: Elaeis guineensis (African oil palm)
Lineage: Eukaryota; Viridiplantae; Streptophyta; Magnoliopsida; Arecales; Arecaceae
Description: long non-coding RNA (EGUI_LNC081355)
Source: RNAcentral